RNAcentral lists this microRNA precursor (174 nucleotides) under Pelobates cultripes (western spadefoot toad). The record is from RNAcentral. Lineage: Eukaryota; Metazoa; Chordata; Amphibia; Anura; Pelobatidae.
UUUUGUUUUUGCUCCCAUUUUUUAUGAGCUGAACUCAAAGAUCUAAGACUUUUUCUAUGUACACAAAAGGCAUAUUUCUCUCAAAUAAUGUUCACGAAUAUGUCUAAAUCUGUGUUAGUGAGCAAUUCUCCUUUGCCAAGUUCAGCUCAUGAAAAAUGGGGGAAAAAACAAAAG